RNAcentral lists this ribosomal RNA (253 nucleotides) under uncultured bacterium. RNAcentral describes it as "partial 16S ribosomal RNA". It matches the Rfam family "Bacterial small subunit ribosomal RNA", at positions 524 to 776 of the family's 1533-position model. The record is from RNAcentral.
GACGUAGGGCGCGAGCGUUGUCCGGAAUUAUUGGGCGUAAAGAGCUCGUAGGCGGUUUGUCGCGUCUGCUGUGAAAUCCCGAGGCUCAACCUCGGGCUUGCAGUGGGUACGGGCAGACUAGAGUGCGGUAGGGGAGACUGGAAUUCCUGGUGUAGCGGUGGAAUGCGCAGAUAUCAGGAGGAACACCGAUGGCGAAGGCAGGUCUCUGGGCCGCAACUGACGCUGAGGAGCGAAAGCAUGGGGAGCGAACAGG